This is a long non-coding RNA of Peromyscus maniculatus bairdii (prairie deer mouse), 2163 nucleotides long. RefSeq lists it as uncharacterized. The record is from RefSeq and is a predicted model, not a curated record. NCBI's taxonomy places the organism in Eukaryota, Metazoa, Chordata, Mammalia, Rodentia, Cricetidae.
UCGACGAGAUCAUCUGUGCCCUUCAAUUUCAAGGUCCAGGAGCAUUUUAGAAGCAUCUAUUUCUCUGUUUUGAUUUUUGUUUUCAUUUUUGUUUUUGUUUUCAGACAGGGUCUCAUGGAGUUCAGUCUGACCUCAAAUUCACUCUCCAGCCAAGGAUGAUUUUGGAUUUGUGAUCUUCUUGCCCCUCUUCCCAAGUGCUGGGACUACAGGCAUGUGUCAUCACGCCAGUUUUAUGUCGUGUUUGGGGAUGAAACCCAGAACCUCAGCUAAAUCUCCUCCUCCCAUCGUGAGGGGCAGGGCUCCUCCUGACUUGAGACUGGACAAGACAUGCUUUGUGAUGGACAAGCCCGACUGUCAAUUUGUUGGAUCUGGAAUCAGCUAUCCUGUUGUUGCGGUUGCUGGUGACACCACCUCCAUCCAUCAGUACCAUCAGAACCCAAAACCUCAUAGGCCUUCACCUGGACUGAAGACCUCCAGUGCCAGAUCGGGACUGCUGGGAUAUCCAGCCUCAUGGACCAGACAGCUUCUAGGCUCUCAUUCCUCUCCAUCAUACAGAAAGUCAUUGUUGGACUACCCGACCACUAUUGUGUCCCUGUGGCCAGUCUUCAGGUGGAAGCUGUACAUCCAGACUCGCUGGAUCCUCAGGACUUCAGACUCAAAGUAGAACUAAGCCAGCUGCUUUCCUGGGUCUCCUGCUGAAGAACUUAGUCUGUACAUUAUGAGACUUGUUGUCUCCAUGAAUGAGUGAGCCAGUUCCAUUUGCCAUAUUAAUCGUUCCCUCUCUAUAGAUUGACAGAUUAAAUAGAUGUGUAAAUAAAUAGGUAGAUAGUAGAUAGAUAGAUAGAUAGAUAGAUAGAUAGAUAGACAGAUAGAUACUAGAUUCUACAGAUGAUUGGUGUAUAUAUACAGAUGACAGACAGACAGAUAGAUAGAUAGAUACCACUUAUUGGUACUAGUUUCCUGGAGCUCCCUGACUGAUACACUCCCCUGAAGUUGGUAGAAUAUUUAACAGUUGCAGAAUCCAUCUACCCACAUUAAUUCUACUGCAGACUGUUCCUCCCUCCCCUCACCCCAGUGAUUCCUGACUCCUACAACACAAGGCAGCAGCCAGACCUAAGCUGGAGUACUGGUUUCACAAACAGCUCUAUGGCCUUGGCAAGUUAGCUGUCCUUGCUGGGUCUCAGUGUCCACACUGUGAAAUGAAAAGAGCCCCCCAUGGAAGAUCAUUGAUAGAUCACUAGACAACACACAAAGGGUCAUCCACAGUACCUGGCCCUACACUCAGCAAAACACAGCUUCUCACGAUUGUGAUUAGGCAUGGGUGUGGGGAGGCUGCAAAGAGACCAUAUUCUGAAGAACUUCCUUCGUCAGAAAAGACUCUGGGAGGAGCCUGAAGGCUUGCAGAGUGACAGCACAAGCUGGCUCUGACCACUCAGGGCCCCCAGCUGAGUUCUGCUGUGUUGGCCCUCACCGGUGUAGCAAAAGCAUAAGCUCUCAGAAUAAACAGAGCAUUGCUCUCCUCAUCCUCUCCCAGGACUUGCACUGUGAGGAUUUUCUUUUGAGGAAACUGAUAGAGACAAAAGAAAAGUGAAAAUCAGCAGUCUUGGGGAAGAGCUUGUCCAUCCUUUUGCAGCCCCCUGUUCCCACCCUGAGCUCAGCUCCUCCCAAGUGAUGCUGAGUAGGUAAGGAGUUAGGCAUGAUGCAACCAAGGAAAACUGUGUGUGUCUUGGUAGCUGUGUGCCUAAUGGUCAAGUUGGCCUUUGUGGUUAAAUACCCAUGGAGUUUGAAGAUAGGUUGUUCUCACUAUAGCGUAAGGUGCCAGGGGACUUUCUCACCCUGUAUCCACAAAAGACCCUGACUUCAUUAUCAAAUAUACUGUGGUUUUGACAUCCCUCAUGGGCUUUUCCAAAGUAUCAUGAGAAGAAAUAUUCUUUUUCAAAGGAGAUCUGGCCCACCAUGACUUGGGAGGAAAAAGGGGUCACAUUGCCCUGUGAAUAAGGCACCCACUUCCUGAACACUCAUUAACAACUUCUUGAAAUUUCAUAAUACAAAGUCCAACUUAGCUGCUUUCCUCCUCUCCAGGACAGUACCUUCCAGCCUGUCUCUGAAGUACACGCUUUGCUCUGCUAAAUAAACUUCUGUUUAAACUGUGUCUGUGUCUCU